AAAAUAUUAGCCUGUGGUAUUAGGUUGGUUUUUCCUUCUAUUUUAUACAUGGAAUAAGAAGAGAAGAGAAAGGAUUGCUCUUUUUGAAGGUUGGGUUCUUAAUGGAUUAAUUGAAUUGGGAGUAAGUUAUUUUUUAUAAAAAAAAGAUAAAAUAAUAAUAUUUCGACUCCAGUAGAUAAUAUUGAAUAGUAUUGAAAGAUAGUUUAAGAGAUUGGGAUUAAAAGGGAAGAAAUAAAGUGCCAGCACUUGCGGUCAGACUUUGUCCUUGAGCUAAUUAGUUUGUAAGAGAGUAAUGUUUAAAAUAAAAUUAAAAGUCUGCUUUUUCUGGUCAAAUACAAACAAAAAGUUUGAUCUAAUUUUAAGUAGUUUUAAGACUAAAGCUCAGAAGGCUGUAAUAGAGACGGGGAUUUGAGACCCUCUUAUUGAAGCUGUCUUAAAUCUUACGGGUACUACGAACAAACGCGUUUAAAACUCGAACAGGUUGGCGGUAUUUUAUAACCAUUAAGGGGAACUUGGCGGUUAAACCGAUGAUCCUCGUAAUACUUUACCCUAAGUUUUCUUUGCAUACCGCCGUCAUUAGGUGUACCUAAAGGGGAAAGAUUGCAGCGAGAUAUCAUUUAUUUAAUAUGUGAAGAAGUUCAGGUAGACGUGUAGGGUUUCUUAGGGGCUUAGCUGAGUUACAAAUGUAAAGCAAUUAUGGAUCAUAAAAUGAAAUAUUUAUGUGAAAGCGUACUUAUUAGUAAAUUUUAAAGAGAGAAAUUUUGAAUUGAGUAAAUAAAAUGCGUACAAAUCGCCCGGCGCCCUCGAAUAUUUAAAUUGAGGUAAGUCGUAACAUAGUAAUGCUAGUAAAAACUGGUGUUGUGAAGAG
Molecule: ribosomal RNA, 868 nt
Filed under: Corbicula japonica
Lineage: Eukaryota; Metazoa; Mollusca; Bivalvia; Venerida; Cyrenidae
Description: 12S ribosomal RNA
Source: RNAcentral